Molecule: non-coding RNA, 2215 nt
Organism: Zootermopsis nevadensis
Lineage: Eukaryota; Metazoa; Arthropoda; Insecta; Blattodea; Termopsidae
Source: RefSeq, a predicted model, not a curated record
UAAUUUUAAGGUACGUUUAGACUACUCGAUUUUCGUUAUCAUCAUGUCAGUGUAGAUUUGCACUCUAUAUCGAUAUAACCAUGAUCAGAUUUUGUCAAAAAUCUAGUAGACAAAUCUAAAAACCGAAGGAACCAAGUUUAGUGAACUGUUAACUAUGGACGAAGCCGGUGCAGCGUUUGUAAUGAGUGUGCUACAUAUGAGGAAGAGAAGGAAGUGUAGUUGUUGGGAAGUGCAUAAAAUGGCAGUAUAAUGUGGAUUUUAUAUUUAUCUACUUGUUUCAUCACUAAAAUACUGAAUUAUUUGUGAUGAAAUCUGAUACUGGAGAUCUGCAUAAGAAGUUCCCAGAAGAAUGUCUGACGUGGACCAUCCCUCACCAGAGGAUCUUCGCGUUAUCCCUGCGGCGAUACAAGCAGGCUCGCUUAUGGUGAGUCGGCAACAAUCCCUUACAUUUAUGAAUUACGUCAUUGUUGUGCUGGCAGAAGCAGGAAUAGGGUGACGGUGUAUAUGAGCUUGUUGAAGGGACUUCACAAAGUUAGUGAAUGCAUGUAAUCUGGUCCCGGGUUGAGAUCUUCGUCCGGAGACCGGAUAUCCUGACUUACGUUUUCGUGGUUUUCCUCAGUCCCUCUCGGGCGAAUGCCGGGACCACGACAAUUCAUUAUUCACUGUCAUCCUCUCAUCCGACGCUAAGUAGUCUAGAUACUGAAAGUGUCGUUAAAUAAACACGCGGUACACGAAUAACAAAUAAAUAAAUAAAUAACCUUUAGGAGACAGUGAGCAAAGUAAGUUCCUCGUGGUUCUUUUCGAUCACUUCAGAGUAAUUAUAAUGCUUAAAGGAAAUGACAGAACUUUAAUCUGUGUCCGGUUUUCGUAAUUUGUCAACACCUGAUCCAACCGGUUUUUCUCGGUGGUAGGCCAAAUGGAUUGUCCUCCUGGCUGAAGAAUUUUUUUUUCCUUUUCGUAGCAACUUGUGAUAUAAAUAUCAUUUAAGUCUACUCGUUUAUUGUCUUGGGAGACUUAAUGUGGGUAGUGCAGGUCUGUCAUCGAGAAAAAUUUGAAUAUUCAUUCUGUGUUUCAACCUUCGUAUAAAGAACCGUUAGUUUUUAAAUAAGUUGUGCCCAAACUGUUGUCGUCGUCUGUAUAAAACUUUCGGUCACUUCUGCAUUAUUAAAUAUAUAUUUUGAUUAUCUUUUACGAUCCUAAUUUAAAUCGCGUUAUGAGGUUAUUUGGCUCACAUCGUGACGUAGGAAGAAGCUACUUUGCAGUAAAAUGCAUUAAUACAGUCAACCAUUUAAACCGAAAUAUUCCUACGUAACCAAGACUCGGUGGUAUGUCUUAAGGUUGGGCACUGGACAGACCGAAAAGGACUGAAUCAACCUCCCAACUUCCUAAAUUUUAACACGUAAAACAUGACUGCGUUCAAGAAUGUUAAAUUACGUUACAGCAUUUAGGCCUAGUUGGAUUUAUUAUCGACAUCAUCUAGCAAUCAAAAGAGUGAGGCCACUUGCUGACCCGUUCCGGCUUCAUUCGAUCAAAGGUCUCUUUAAAGGUCGUCAUCGGUUUCUUAACCCACGUGGUUAAUAUAUAUUUUUUUUUUUAAUAAUUUGGAAGUCUGUCUCAUUGCAUUCUGUCAACACGUCGAGUCCAAGUUUUUGAUUUCAACAUUUUGUGCUGGAGGCUUAUGGAUUCUGUUUUUAAUUAUAUUAAUAACUUAGGCCUCUGUCUUCCCUUCUUAAAAAGUAACCUGUCCUUAAUAUCUACUGUGGUUUAACCUCAAAAGACCAGUGGUAAUUAUAUGUACCACAUGAUCUUGACAAUAAAUAACUCUAGCAGGUUUUGUUUAUGGGGUUUUGUGUUAUUAUAAGUGUAAGCAGAGAUUAUUUCUUUAAAAACAAUUAACCAUUUGAUAAUUUCAGUGAUAAUGUAUGGUUUUCUUUGAGGUACGGACAGAAUUAUUAAAUGUUGUUUAGACGUUACGUAUUAUGUUCUCGUCUUCUUAACGUGCUUAUGAGAAAUUUCACAGGCCCCAGUUGGUAAUUGUGCUUGUCUUAAACCCUCUUAUGUCCAAGAAAAAAGGUCGUCUACAAAUGUGUAAGUUAUUUUCUAGCAAACGAGGCUUUGGCGACCGAAUAGUGGCCGAAUGACUAUAAUAUCAGCAUUAGAAUAAACGCCUAUGAAUAAACCUAUCUGGAGGCUUAAAGAUAGGAUCUCUAGGCUA